UACGUAGGGCGCAAGCGUUAUCCGGAAUUAUUGGGCGUAAAGAGCUCGUAGGCGGUUUGUUGCGUCGGCCGUGAAAACCUGCAGCUUAACUGUGGGCCUGCGGCCGAUACGGGCAGACUUGAGUUCGGUAGGGGAGUGGGGAAUUCCUGGUGUAGCGGUGAAAUGCGCAGAUAUCAGGAGGAACACCGGUGGCGAAGGCGCCACUCUGGGCCGAAACUGACGCUGAGGAGCGAAAGCGUGGGUAGCAAACAGG
RNAcentral lists this ribosomal RNA (253 nucleotides) under uncultured bacterium. Its description in RNAcentral is "partial 16S ribosomal RNA". It matches the Rfam family "Bacterial small subunit ribosomal RNA", at positions 524 to 776 of the family's 1533-position model. The record is from RNAcentral.